Molecule: ribosomal RNA, 292 nt
Filed under: uncultured bacterium
Lineage: Bacteria
Description: partial 16S ribosomal RNA
Rfam family: Bacterial small subunit ribosomal RNA
Source: RNAcentral
GUGUCAGCCGCCGCGGUAAUACGUAGGGGGCAAGCGUUGUCCGGAUUUACUGGGCGUAAAGCGCGUGUAGGCGGGGAAGCGCGUCGGACGUGAAAGGCGGGAGCUCAACUCCCGAGCGGCGUUCGAAACGGCUUCUCUUGAGGACCGAAGAGGAGAGUGGAAUUCCUGGUGUAGCGGUGAAAUGCGUAGAGAUCAGGAGGAACACCCGUGGCGAAGGCGGCUCUCUGGUCGGUAUCUGACGCUGAGACGCGAAAGCGUGGGGAGCGAACGGGAUUAGAUACCCCCGUAGUCC